GUACACUCCUGCGGGAGGCAGCAGUGGGGAAUUUUGGACAAUGGGCGAAAGCCUGAUCCAGCAAUGCCGCGUGUGUGAAGAAGGCCUUCGGGUUGUAAAGCACUUUUGUCCGGAAAGAAAUCCUUGGCUCUAAUACAGUCGGGGGAUGACGGUACCGGAAGAAUAAGCACCGGCUAACUACGUGCCAGCAGCCGCGGUAAUACGUAGGGUGCGAGCGUUAAUCGGAAUUACUGGGCGUAAAGCGUGCGCAGGCGGUUUGCUAAGACCGAUGUGAAAUCCCCGGGCUCAACCUGGGAACUGCAUUGGUGACUGGCAGGCUAGAGUAUGGCAGAGGGGGGUAGAAUUCCACGUGUAGCAGUGAAAUGCGUAGAGAUGUGGAGGAAUAUCGAUGGCGAAGGCAGCCCCCUGGGCCAAUACUGACGCUCAUGCACGAAAGCGUGGGGAGCAAACAGGAUUAGAUACCCCAGUAGUCCCAUGA
RNAcentral lists this ribosomal RNA (478 nucleotides) under uncultured organism. RNAcentral describes it as "partial 16S ribosomal RNA". It matches the Rfam family "Bacterial small subunit ribosomal RNA", at positions 331 to 800 of the family's 1533-position model. The record is from RNAcentral.